This 522-nucleotide ribosomal RNA is filed under the name uncultured Prochlorococcus sp. Its description in RNAcentral is "bacterial SSU rRNA". It matches the Rfam family "Bacterial small subunit ribosomal RNA", at positions 374 to 910 of the family's 1533-position model. Lineage: Bacteria; Bacillati; Cyanobacteriota; Cyanophyceae; Synechococcales; Prochlorococcaceae. The record is from RNAcentral.
GGCGAAAGCCUGACGGAGCAACGCCGCGUGAGGGACGAAGGCCUCUGGGCUGUAAACCUCUUUUCUCAAGGAAGAAGAUAUGACGGUACUUGAGGAAUAAGCCACGGCUAAUUCCGUGCCAGCAGCCGCGGUAAUACGGGAGUGGCAAGCGUUAUCCGGAAUUAUUGGGCGUAAAGCGUCCGCAGGCGGCUUUUCAAGUCUGCUGUUAAAGCGUGGAGCUUAACUCCAUCAUGGCAGUGGAAACUGAAAGGCUUGAGUAUGGUAGGGGCAGAGGGAAUUCCCGGUGUAGCGGUGAAAUGCGUAGAUAUCGGGAAGAACACCAGUGGCGAAGGCGCUCUGCUGGGCCAUUACUGACGCUCAUGGACGAAAGCCAGGGGAGCGAAAGGGAUUAGAUACCCCUGUAGUCCUGGCCGUAAACGAUGAACACUAGGUGUCGGGGGAAUCGACCCCUUCGGUGUCGUAGCUAACGCGUUAAGUGUUCCGCCUGGGGAGUACGCACGCAAGUGUGAAACUCAAAGGAAU